AUUGAACGCUGGCGGCAUGCUUUACACAUGCAAGUCGAACGGCAGCACGGGGGCAACCCUGGUGGCGAGUGGCGAACGGGUGAGUAAUACAUCGGAACGUGUCUUAAAGUGGGGGAUAACGCAUCGAAAGAUGUGCUAAUACCGCAUAAUCUCUAAGGAGGAAAGCAGGGGAUCGAAAGACCUUGUGCUUUUAGAGCGGCCGAUGCCUGAUUAGCUAGUUGGUAAGGUAAAGGCUUACCAAGGCAACGAUCAGUAGCUGGUCUGAGAGGACGACCAGCCACACUGGGACUGAGACACGGCCCAGACUCCUACGGGAGGCAGCAGUGGGGAAUUUUGGACAAUGGGCGCAAGCCUGAUCCAGCCAUGCCGCGUGAGUGAAGAAGGCCUUCGGGUUGUAAAGCUCUUUCGGUCGGGAAGAAAUAGUUAUGGCUAAUAUCCAUAAUGAAUGACGGUACCGACAUAAGAAGCACCGGCUAACUACGUGC
RNAcentral lists this ribosomal RNA (485 nucleotides) under uncultured bacterium. RNAcentral describes it as "bacterial SSU rRNA". It matches the Rfam family "Bacterial small subunit ribosomal RNA", at positions 30 to 508 of the family's 1533-position model. The record is from RNAcentral.